AAGGAUCAUUACUGAACUGUCAACACGAGUUGUUGCUGGUCCUCAAAUGGGGGCAUGUGCACACUCUGUUUACAUACCCACUCACACCUGUGCACCCUCUGUAGUUCUAUGGUGUGGGGGACUCUGUCUUCCCACUGUGGUUCUAUGUCUUUACACACACACACACAGUGAUAAAGUCUCAUGGAAUGUACAUCGCGUUUAACGCAAUACAAUACAACUUUCAGCAACGGAUCUCUUGGCUCUC
RNAcentral lists this unclassified non-coding RNA (244 nucleotides) under uncultured fungus. RNAcentral describes it as "partial contains 18S rRNA, ITS1, 5.8S rRNA, ITS2 and 28S rRNA". Lineage: Eukaryota; Fungi. The record is from RNAcentral.